Long non-coding RNA from Cryptomeria japonica (Japanese cedar), 562 nucleotides. RefSeq lists it as uncharacterized. The transcript is spliced from 2 exons. NCBI's taxonomy places the organism in Eukaryota, Viridiplantae, Streptophyta, Pinopsida, Cupressales, Cupressaceae. The record is from RefSeq and is a predicted model, not a curated record.
AGUUAGCCUAUUUCCCCAAGGCGUGGUUAGGGUUUCGUGAAAGCACCUAGGGUUUGAGCAGCGAUAAGAUAUAACUCGUCGUGGUUGUUGAUUAUCGUGGUGUGGAGGUGAUAUUUGCCUAAAAUGGCGUUGGAUUGAUUUCAUGCACCCUCAGGAUUUUGAUUUUGUACAUGUGUCUGAAUUUGUGUUUCUUGAAAAUGGCUCGAUGAUGAGUUCAAGUCUUAACCACACCGAAUAGAAGAUGACAAUUCUGAUGAAGGUUAGGGUUUGCUUACAAACAAACCGAGCUGUAACCUUCUUCUGUGGAAAAUCCUGGCCUUGACUGAGAGCCUUUCUAGGUUAAAUCUUUUGGUGGUUGUUUAUUUACUGUUUGAUUUAAGAUACUAGAUGCGAUGAUUAUUUUCUGUUAUGAUAAAUGUUCUAGUGAGUACAUCUAUUUGUGCCUGUGCUGAAGUUAAAAUACUUGUUUAUACAUGCUUUGGUAAGAAAAGUCAUUUUUACUCUGUAGUCGUUUGCCAAAUGAUAAUAGAAAUAAGAGAUCAAUAAGAUUUCUCUUUUGAAA